CGCUGAUGCUAUCGAUCCAGGGAGCACACUUGGAGUGUCCCUGCCCUGCCUUCUCGAUUGAGGUAGCACCUGGAAAAUGAUGUUAACAUCAGAACUUACGUGAUAGAGCUGUUGUCCCAGAUAAAUGAGAUAACAUGUGACAUUAUUAGGAUAGCUGCUGACAUUUGUAAAUUCUCAAUAAGUGGUAGCCACUGUUAUGGUGUGAGUCACCACGCACAUCACACAUACGAUGUGCUUCUUACAUUAUCAGAAGAUGAACAUGGUGAAUGGAAGCAGGACCGUUUGCUUUACAGAAAGCCAAUUUCAGGAGUCCAUGGCUACCAGCAGAGAGCACACGAAAUCAAGAAGGAACGCCAGAAUUGCUACUUCUUCAAUGUGCCUCCUUCAAGACUGCAACCACCUAGAAUUGGCCAAGCUCAGCGCCAGGGACCAGGGCAUGGAGACACAGCCCCUGCUGGAAAUCCAGAGAUGUCAGAACCUGGACUCUGCUUUUGGAGGAGGCCAUUACACCUUGAAGAGCUUCUCCAGGAAGAUCCCAGCACCCAGCUCAGAGCCAGUCCUCAGGCCUUGAAGAAGUCCCAAGUCCACUACAGGGAGGCCUGUGGCUGCCCUGUCCUGCUAAGCCAUGAUGCACACACAGAGCACAGCACAGAUUUCUCCUCACAGCAAGGUGCACUUCCUCACCUUCUCUGGCACGUCAUUCCUUCCUGUAGAACAGUUUCCAUCAGGUAUCAUUUCCCUUCAGCCUGAAGAAUUUCCUUUACAUUUCUUACAGUUCAGGUUUAUUGGCAAGGGAUUUUCUCAGCUGUUAUGCAACUGUAAUUACA
Pan paniscus (pygmy chimpanzee) is the source of this 827-nucleotide long non-coding RNA. NCBI's taxonomy places the organism in Eukaryota, Metazoa, Chordata, Mammalia, Primates, Hominidae. The record is from Ensembl.